Molecule: ribosomal RNA, 666 nt
Filed under: uncultured bacterium
Lineage: Bacteria
Description: bacterial SSU rRNA
Rfam family: Bacterial small subunit ribosomal RNA
Source: RNAcentral
AGAGUUUGAUCCUGGCUCAGAAUCAACGCUGGCGGCGUGCCUCAGACAUGCAAGUCGAACGCGAAAGUUUCCUUCGGGAGACAAGUAGAGUGGCGCACGGGNUGAGUAACACGUAGGUAAUCUACCUUUGGAUGGGGAAUAACAAUCGGAAACGGUUGCUAAUACCGCAUAAUGCAGCGGCACCUAAUGGUGACAGUUGUUAAAGCGGGGGAUCGAAAGACCUCGCGUCUGAAGAGGAGCCUGCGGCGGAUUAGCUAGUUGGUAAGGUAAUGGCUUACCAAGGCUACGAUCCGUAACCGGCCUGAGAGGGCGGUCGGUCACACUGACACUGACAUACGGGUCAGACUCCUACGGGAGGCAGCAGUCGGGAAUUUUGGGCAAUGGGCGAAAGCCUGACCCAGCAACGCCGCGUGAAGGAUGAAAUCCCUCGGGAUGUAAACUUCGCAAGAACGGGAAGAAUAAGCGAAGGCUAAUACCAUUCGUGAUGACGGUACCGUUUGUAAGCUCCGGCUAACUCCGUGCCAGCAGCCGCGGUAAUACGGGGGGAGCAAGCGUUGUUCGGAUUUACUGGGCGUAAAGGGCGCGUAGGCGGUCAGCACAAGUCAGUUGUGAAAUCUCCGGGCUUAACUCGGAAAGGUCAACUGAUACUGUGCGACUAGAGUGCNG